RNAcentral lists this ribosomal RNA (117 nucleotides) under Allomicrovenator marinus. Lineage: Bacteria; Deltaproteobacteria; Bradymonadales; Allomicrovenatoraceae. The record is from RNAcentral.
GUUGGUAGCCAUAGCGAGGAGGGUCCGCCCGAUCCCAUCCCGAACUCGGAAGCUAAGCUCCUCAGCGCCGAUGAUACUGCCACCGCGAGGUGGUGGGAAAGUAGGUCGUUGCCAACC